UGCAGUCGAACGAACUCUGGUAUUGAUUGGUGCUUGCAUCAUGAUUUACAUUUGAGUGAGUGGCGAACUGGUGAGUAACACGUGGGAAACCUGCCCAGAAGCGGGGGAUAACACCUGGAAACAGAUGCUAAUACCGCAUAACAACUUGGACCGCAUGGUCCGAGCUUGAAAGAUGGCUUCGGCUAUCACUUUUGGAUGGUCCCGCGGCGUAUUAGCUAGAUGGUGGGGUAACGGCUCACCAUGGCAAUGAUACGUAGCCGACCUGAGAGGGUAAUCGGCCACAUUGGGACUGAGACACGGCCCAAACUCCUACGGGAGGCAGCAGUAGGGAAUCUUCCACAAUGGACGAAAGUCUGAUGGAGCAACGCCGCGUGAGUGAAGAAGGGUUUCGGCUCGUAAAACUCUGUUGUUAAAGAAGAACAUAUCUGAGAGUAACUGUUCAGGUAUUGACGGUAUUUAACCAGAAAGCCACGGCUAACUACGUGCCAGCAGCCGCGGUAAUACGUAGGUGGCAAGCGUUGUCCGGAUUUAUUGGGCGUAAAGCGAGCGCA
RNAcentral lists this ribosomal RNA (551 nucleotides) under Lactiplantibacillus plantarum. RNAcentral's name for it is "bacterial SSU rRNA". It matches the Rfam family "Bacterial small subunit ribosomal RNA", at positions 56 to 573 of the family's 1533-position model. Lineage: Bacteria; Bacillati; Bacillota; Bacilli; Lactobacillales; Lactobacillaceae. The record is from RNAcentral.